Pongo abelii (Sumatran orangutan) is the source of this 130-nucleotide small nucleolar RNA. Its record names the gene U8. It matches the Rfam family "U8 small nucleolar RNA". From Rfam's summary of the family: U8 is a member of the C/D class of snoRNA which contain the C (UGAUGA) and D (CUGA) box motifs. U8 is the RNA component of a small complex (the U8 snoRNP) which is required for accumulation of mature large subunit ribosomal RNAs, 5.8S and 28S rRNAs. The record is from Ensembl. Lineage: Eukaryota; Metazoa; Chordata; Mammalia; Primates; Hominidae.
UAGUCAGGCGGGAUAAUCUCUAUCUGUUCCUCCUUUUGGAGGGCAGUAGAAUGUGCUAAUUGGAGUUGCAUAAUACUUGAUUAUAUCUUGUUAAUGAUGUCUGCAAUAUGAUUGCUUUUGAAUCUUUGAA